This 253-nucleotide ribosomal RNA is filed under the name uncultured Eubacteriales bacterium. RNAcentral's name for it is "uncultured Clostridiales bacterium partial 16S ribosomal RNA". It matches the Rfam family "Bacterial small subunit ribosomal RNA", at positions 524 to 776 of the family's 1533-position model. The record is from RNAcentral. Lineage: Bacteria; Bacillati; Bacillota; Clostridia; Eubacteriales.
UACGUAGGGGGCAAGCGUUAUCCGGAUUUACUGGGUGUAAAGGGAGCGUAGACGGCAGCGCAAGUCUGGAGUGAAAUCCCAUGGCUUAACCAUGGAACUGCUUUGGAAACUGUACGACUUGAGUGCAGUAGAGGUUAGUGGAAUUCCUAGUGUAGCGGUGGAAUGCGUAGAUAUUAGGAGGAACACCAGAGGCGAAGGCGGCUAACUGGACUGUAACUGACGCUGAGGCACGAAAGUGUGGGGAGCAAACAGG